AUUCAGCUGACGAGUUCCGAAUAAGACUAAACAUGUGUCCUGGAU
Molecule: non-coding RNA, 45 nt
Filed under: Schistosoma mansoni
Lineage: Eukaryota; Metazoa; Platyhelminthes; Trematoda; Strigeidida; Schistosomatidae
Source: RNAcentral